GAAGCCUCGCGCCCUAGUGCCGAGGUGCCGAGGUCGGUGCUAAACACCAGCCGCAGGCGGGGCUCAGUCAGCGGAGCAUCUGCUUUCAGCUCGGGUCAGGGCCCCAGAGUCUUGGGAUGGAGCCCGCACCGGGCUCUGCUCCGCAGGAAGCCUG
This is a long non-coding RNA of Mustela erminea (ermine), 154 nucleotides long. RefSeq lists it as uncharacterized. The record is from RefSeq and is a predicted model, not a curated record. NCBI's taxonomy places the organism in Eukaryota, Metazoa, Chordata, Mammalia, Carnivora, Mustelidae. The transcript is spliced from 4 exons.